CAGAAGGGUCCAUCUCUUCCUGACUGGAUCACACAGGACAAGCAGCAUCAUCAUCAACAUCACCCGCCAUCCUCUGUCACAAGGACAAGCUCUCCAUCCAGAGGCGCACAGGGAGCGAGGACAAUCUUCUCCUGUUUUUUUUUCUAGAACAAGAACCAUAAUAACAAAGCAGCAAGAUGUUGGCCUGCACGGAGCUGAUCACCAUGUGUCUCCAGUCCGCCAAGCACGAACACUUGAGAAAGCAGCAAGAGCUCGACCACAAUCAGAACCAAGGCAUCGCUUUAUUCCAAGACAUUUUUCGUCGAGCGGACAAAAAUGACGAUGGGAAGCUGUCCAUGGAGGAAUUCCAGUCCUACUUCACUGAUGGUAUCCUUACUGAAGAGCAGAUGCAGGAGCUGUAUUACUCCAUCGACAGGCAGCAGACAGACAACCUGGACAUCGACAAGCUCUCAGCGUACUUCACUCCUCAUCUGGGGGAAUAUGUCAACGUCUUGUCUGCACUGGAAAAGCUGAACGUGGCGAUUUUAAAGGCCAUGGAUAAAACUAAAGAGGAGUAUCAGGGCUCAUCAGUGCUUGGUCAGUUUGUCACUCGGUUCCUGCUGAGGGAAACUUCCUCACAGCUUCAGUCCCUGCAGUCUUCCCUGGACUGUGCCACAGAAGCUGUCCAUGACAACGGCUGCACAGGGAGGAGGAUAGUGAAGAAACCCGAGGACCUUCCCAUUCAGAGGGUCACUAAACGACCCAACCGACGUAUCCAGAAGAACAUGUGUCUCUCUCCUACAGACCCCUACUCCGGCAUGCUCACCACAGGGGUCAGCGUAGAGCCAGACAACCACUGGGGCUACCAGAUCAACCAGCUGGAACAACUCAUGGAUAAACUGGAUUGUGAGAGUCCACGUCUUGAACCUCUUAAGGAAGACACUUUGGCUGGAACAUAUAAAUCGAACAUUCUCCUGGUUCAAAGGCAGAUGUCUGUGAAGGAGCGAGACAUGGAGCACUUUCAGCAGACUCUCAAAAUCUACACAGAUGCCACCAGCAGCCAGCUCGACAACCUACACAUUUCAGUCCAAAACUUGCCAGACAGAUCGUGCUUCAUCAUGUAUGAGUUUUGGCAGGACCGUCUCUCCUGGAUGAGCUACCUGCAGUCAUCCAUCAGCAAGACCUUUCAGCGCUGCAUCAUUGACUCGCUGGAAGAGCCAGAAAUAGUCUCCACUAUGCUCCUCCCAGGUCUUUUGCUCCGAAGGUCUGGGUCAUUUUGGGAGGUGUGAAUGUGCAACCGAACUUUGGGGCAGAUAGAAGAAGAAACCUCUGGUCCACCUAAAACACUGUUCUUGCUUCCUGGUGGAUCAUGAACAACAACUGAAUAAACAAGACAUCUGCAGAAGGAAGAAACCACUUCUGCAUCCUUUUGGUUUGAUACUUGCUUUUUUCUUCUGGCAUGACUGAGAUUGUUUUGUAACAUUUUACUUCAGUUAAAAAAGGACCGCUGACAAAAAUUUGCAACACAAUGAGACAAACAACAAUCUCAGAUUGUUUAAGUAGCCAAUCAAGAGCCUAAAGCUUAUUUCUCAAUUUACUGGCACACUUCAAACUACUUACAUUUUUGAAACACAAGAGAGAUGAUUAAAAUAGGUUAUGCAUGAUUCAUUCUGUUUUAAAUAAAAAAUGAAAUCGUAUCAGUUCAUCCACUGCAUUUUCCUCCACACUGAUAGAAAAAGAAAAAAAAAAUUGCCGCUUUGGUUUACUUUGUCCUCUUGUUCUCCCUGUGCUGUUGUGCUUUGUUGUCUCCUUCAAAGCUUUGCUACCAGGCAUCAUGUCUGCAGACAGAACCAUCUCAUAGAACGCAGCCACUGAAUAAUUAUUGUCCAUGUCACUCCUGCACUUUAAAAUAUAUAUAUAUGGAACAUGAACAUUAUUGUGAAGAAUGCGAUUUUUUAUUUUGAUUGUCUUUUGCAAAAUGCAAAAUUAACCUGCUGUUAUGAAAAGCUAAGAGAUGCUAGCGGAGAACAAGUCACCAGAUAAUCAUACAGUUUGAGUCUACUGUUCCUCUAAAUGUAAAUAAGUAAAAAGCCAUUACUUGACAUAUGUGGUGUGUAAUCAACAGAGCUUAGGAAUAAAAAAUGAAAAAACGUUUUAUUUUAAAAAUAAUGCUGGACCUGUUUUGUGUCAUAUAAUGGAAAGAACCCCAGUUAAGAUAGUGUACAGUAGAUAAUAAAAGCUGUAGGACUGAUGUAACUGUUGUAUAAGUCUGGUAAAUGUACAGUGAAUUAGUAUGUAAAAUUUUGGAUUUAAAAUGGGGAAUAAACAUGUCCACUCAUUUACUUGACGUGUUUAUCACUUCUUUAGUGUUUUAUAUGCUGUUAUAUGGAUUCUGUUUUGGUUGUUUUUUAUUUUCUGGCAUGAAUUAAAGUUUGACUGAAAAAGAGGA
Molecule: RNA transcript, 2428 nt
Organism: Girardinichthys multiradiatus
Lineage: Eukaryota; Metazoa; Chordata; Actinopteri; Cyprinodontiformes; Goodeidae
Gene name: N-terminal EF-hand calcium-binding protein 1-like
Exons: 13
Source: RefSeq, a predicted model, not a curated record